RNAcentral lists this microRNA precursor (106 nucleotides) under Rehmannia glutinosa. Its description in RNAcentral is "miR7802 stem-loop (rgl-MIR7802)". The record is from miRBase by way of RNAcentral. Lineage: Eukaryota; Viridiplantae; Streptophyta; Magnoliopsida; Lamiales; Orobanchaceae.
UAGUAAGUUUAGGGAGUGUUUGCAAUCACUAAAAAAAAGUGAUUCUCAACUUCCGGUUGGAAAGAAGUAGUGUUUAGUGUUUGCAAAUAUCAGUUUCGGCUUCUGA